Molecule: long non-coding RNA, 548 nt
Filed under: Ananas comosus (pineapple)
Lineage: Eukaryota; Viridiplantae; Streptophyta; Magnoliopsida; Poales; Bromeliaceae
Description: long non-coding RNA (ACOM_LNC000264)
Source: RNAcentral
CCCCUCAACUAUAUACAAUUAUGAAAUUGCCUUCUCAACUCUUUUUUUUUAAAAAAAAUAAAUUUCAAAUACCACUUCUAUAAGUUAAUACUUUUUUUAUUUCAAUAUUUUAUAAUUUAAAGUGUAACACUUUAGUACUCUAUAAUUUUAUUUCACUUUUUAUAUAAGCACCUUCAUUAACUCUCCGUCAAAUCAUAAAUAAAAAAUUUUAAAUAGCUCACAUAUGAUUUAUUGAAUAUUCAUUUUAGUACUAUGUGGUUAUAGAGUUUUUAUUUUAGUAUCCUGUGAUUUUAAUUUUAUCAUUGAUAUAACGAAAAAAUGAGUAUAUUUGAACUUUUUUUCAUUUUUAUUGAGAUCUUCUCAACUUCUAAUUUUUUUAAUUUAAUUAAAUUACAAAUUUUAUAAAUAUUAAUGACCCCAUUAGUUAUAAAUUAUUAAUUAAUCUAAUUUUAUUUAUAAAAAAAUAAUUCAAAUUAUUAAAUUUUAUAAAAUUAUAAAUAUAUUUAAUAAAAUUUUCAAAUUGUUUAACUAAAAUUACUUAAUUCUAU